UCGAGGGGCAGCGCGGGUAGCAAUACUUGGCGGCGACCGGCAAACGGGUGCGGAACACGUACGCAACUUUCCUUCAAGUGAGGAAUAGCCCAGGGAAACUUGGAUUAAUACCUCGUAAUAUUAUGAAGUGGCAUCACUUUAUAAUUAUAGCUCCGGCGCUUGAAGAUGGGCGUGCGGCUGAUUAGGUAGUUGGCGGGGUAACGGCCCACCAAGCCUACGAUCAGUAACUGGUGUGAGAGCACGACCAGUCACACGGGCACUGAGACACGGGCCCGACUCCUACGGGAGGCAGCAGUAAGGAAUAUUGGCCAAUGGACGCAAGUCUGACCCAGCCAUGCCGCGUGGAGGAUGAAGGUCCUCUGGAUUGUAAACUUCUUUUAUCUGGGAAGAAAUCCAUAUUUUCUAAUGUGGUUGACGGUACCAGAUGAAUAAGCACCGGCUAACUCCGUGCCAGCAGCCGCGGUAAUACGGAGGGUGCAAGCGUUAUCCGGAUUCACUGGGUUUAAAGGGUGCGUAGGCGGAUUGGUAAGUCCGUGGUGAAAUCUCCGAGCUUAACUCGGAAACUGCCGUGGAUACUAUCAGUCUUGAAUAUCGUGGAGGUAAGCGGGAUAUGUCAUGUAGCGGUGAAAUGCUUAGAUAUGACAUAGAACACCAAUUGCGUAGGCAGCUUACUACACGAUCAUUGACGCUGAGGCACGAGAGCGUGGG
Molecule: ribosomal RNA, 708 nt
Filed under: uncultivated soil bacterium clone S114
Lineage: Bacteria
Description: bacterial SSU rRNA
Rfam family: Bacterial small subunit ribosomal RNA
Source: RNAcentral